GAACGACCGUGGGGAAUGAGGUCCAUUUUGUCUGCAACCCUGGCUUUGCACUGACCGGGUCUGAGACUCGGGUCUGCCUGGAGAACAGGACCUGGAGUGGACGACAGGCCUUCUGCAAAAGCACCAGUGAUUGUGCCAGUCGCCCCUGUGCCAAUGGAGGGACCUGCGUGGAUGCCGUCCACCGCUACAGCUGCUUGUGCCCCAGCGGCUGGUCGGGGAGCAACUGCCAGGCCCCCCUUCACACCUAUAGGGCAGCUGUGAGCAACGCAACGUUCAGCCGUCAACCCCGCUGCGUUGAGAAUCCGGGGGGCUCCCGCCAAUGCAGCUGCGACGCUG
Ahaetulla prasina is the source of this 336-nucleotide long non-coding RNA. RefSeq lists it as uncharacterized. Lineage: Eukaryota; Metazoa; Chordata; Lepidosauria; Squamata; Colubridae. The transcript is spliced from 3 exons. The record is from RefSeq and is a predicted model, not a curated record.